GCACCCAUGAGUCCUCUAUCAGGGCCAAUGUUAUUUUUAAUUGCUGAGAAUCAGCCCAUGGCUGUUCCUCAAAGCUGCAGAGCGCGGGCUUGCCAGGGGUCGGAAACCGACUUCAGAGGAGGCAUGAAGACCAGGAAGGGGCUGGGAACACGCUAAGAGGAAGAAGAUGCUGCAGCUCCUGCGAACACCCUGGAAUGCAUGGUGAAGACACUCACGCGCCUUCUCGGGGGAUGGUGAGAAGCUGGGGUGUGUGCAGAAGGCCAGGCAGAGACAGGAAACACGGCUGGAGAGGAGCCACGGGCCUCUGUCUAUGCCUUCAACACCACUUCUCUGGCCCCAGAAGGCUCUGGACAUGUAUGGACACUCAGGACAUAUCUACUGAAUAGCGAAGUGGGGGUGCAGGGGUGAGUGGGUAAGUGAGUAACUCAGUGGUGUCCCCACCAAAGAGAAGGGACCUUCUCUGCAAGCCCACAGCAGAUGAUGGGGUUCUGGACACUCUACCCUCAAAUAUGGCAACUUAAGACACGAAAUAUUUUAAGCUGAAGGAGUCUGAGAAAACAACAGAAGCCAGAAAGUCGCUUUGACUGUCCCCCUGACCCUUCUCCCCUGACCCAGCCCAUAAAACCCUCACGUGAGGGGUGCCCUUCCUGUGACUGGAAGUUUAUCUGUCUCUGAAGACAAAGGAACGCGAAGAAGAAUCCUAGCAAACAAGCUUUGCCUAGUUUCCCUGGUUUGUUCCACUUGCCUCAUGUUCCUAUCCUAUCCCUCCAUGACUGCCCACUCUUCAUCAGACCUAGCAUAAAAAUAUCCAAUCUGUUUAUCUGGGUCUCCCUUUCCUGAUGAAGGCCCUCGUGCCACAUAAAACUUACAUUAAAUAAAUGUGUAUGCUUCU
Molecule: long non-coding RNA, 892 nt
Organism: Capra hircus (goat)
Lineage: Eukaryota; Metazoa; Chordata; Mammalia; Artiodactyla; Bovidae
Exons: 3
Source: RefSeq, a predicted model, not a curated record